RNAcentral lists this long non-coding RNA (645 nucleotides) under Sorghum bicolor (sorghum). RNAcentral describes it as "long non-coding RNA (SBIC_LNC002319)". The record is from RNAcentral. Lineage: Eukaryota; Viridiplantae; Streptophyta; Magnoliopsida; Poales; Poaceae.
AAGAUGUGCAUGUGUGGUGGAGUAAAUGAUAGUGAUGGUAAAAAUGUAUAAGUGAUGAUAAAACUUACUUCUCAUUGCUCCUCAUAUUGCUAUCUCUCCUCCUCUCUUGAUCUUUGCCUUGGGAGAACAUAGGCUAUCUCUUUUUUUUUCAGGUGGGUAGUAAAUACCCCUAAUUCUACUGUCGGACACUUGUCUAUUUUUCCGCUCAGGUGGGCAUCUUUGUACCCCUAAUUCUACUCUGGACACUUGUCCAUUUUUAUCUCUCGUCUCACUCUGUUUUUUUCUUUUUCGAGGUUCUGGGCACUUGCCCCUUUUUAUUUCCUCGCAUAUUUUUGCAUAACCCAUGCCUCUUCUGCAUUGAAUCUUUUUGGAGAGAGAGAAUAACAACACUUGGGACAGUGAGUGAUAAUAUUUUUAGCAAUUUUAAUGAAUGGUGAUGGAUGGUGUAGUAGGUGUGUGCAAGUGAAUAUCUUAAUUUAACCACAUGAAAAGCUCCUAUGGGUCUACACAGCUCGAUCAAACUUAAUGUGAAUAUAAGUAGCAAAAGAUGUUAUAGCAAGUAUGGCUGUGGUAGGAAUUUUUUCAUGCUAGGAACUCAUCAUGUGAUUUGCAAGUUUUCAAAAUAAAUCUCCAGAACUUAGUGUA